GCCCGGCUGGCACAAUUGGUUAGCGCGUGGGCCUUUUAAGCAUUAAUUGUAGACAUCUAUCUAUUAUUAGAAAAAGCAGAGCCCAAGGUUGAGAGUUCGAGCCUCUCGUCGGGCG
RNAcentral lists this transfer RNA (115 nucleotides) under Lachnellula cervina. It matches the Rfam family "tRNA". Rfam says of the family: Transfer RNA (tRNA) molecules are approximately 80 nucleotides in length. Their secondary structure includes four short double-helical elements and three loops (D, anti-codon, and T loops). Lineage: Eukaryota; Fungi; Ascomycota; Leotiomycetes; Helotiales; Lachnaceae. The record is from Rfam by way of RNAcentral.